CCUACGGGAGGCAGCAGUGAGGAAUAUUGGUCAAUGGGCGCGAGCCUGAACCAGCCAAGUAGCGUGAAGGAUGACUGCCCUACGGGUUGUAAACUUCUUUUAUAAAGGAAUAAAGUGCGGCACGUGUGCCUUUUUGUAUUUAUUUUAUGAUUACGUCUCUGAUAACUUCGUGCCAGCAGCCGCGUUAAUACGGAGGAUCAGAGCGUUAUCCGGAUUUAUUGGUUUUAAAGGUAGCGUAGAUGGGUUGUUAAGUCAGUUGUGAAAGUUUGCGGCUCAACCGUAAAAUUGCAAUUGAUACUGGCAGCCGUGAGGACAGUUGAGGUAGGCGGAAUUCGUGGUGUAGCGGUGAAAUGCUUAGAUAUCACGAAGAACUCCGAUUGCGAAGGCAGCCUACUAAACUGCCACUGACAUUGAUGCUCGAAAGUGUGGGUAUCAAACAGGAUUAGAUACCCGAGUAGUG
RNAcentral lists this ribosomal RNA (460 nucleotides) under uncultured bacterium. RNAcentral describes it as "partial 16S ribosomal RNA". It matches the Rfam family "Bacterial small subunit ribosomal RNA", at positions 338 to 795 of the family's 1533-position model. The record is from RNAcentral.